GACCGGAAGCUUCAUGUGGACGAUCUGUAGAGACCAGACACACUGUGUAGCUACAUUGUGAUGAUUAGACUCUCCCGACGGUGAUCAGAUUACGGUGAUCUACUACCCACACAAAGGUAUUGUGUUCUGAACACAUUAUAGUAAAGUGUUUACUAUUCGAAUUUGAAUUUUAAAUUUAAAUAAAUACAUGCUAUAUAUCAUAUUUAGAUCCUAGUGUAG
This 219-nucleotide long non-coding RNA is filed under the name Elaeis guineensis (African oil palm). Its description in RNAcentral is "long non-coding RNA (EGUI_LNC060211)". Lineage: Eukaryota; Viridiplantae; Streptophyta; Magnoliopsida; Arecales; Arecaceae. The record is from RNAcentral.